AACGCUAGCUACAGGCUUAACACACGCAAGUCGAGGGGCAGCAUGGUCUUAGCUCGCUAAGGCCGAUGGCGACCGGCGCACGGGUGAGUAACGCGUAUCCAACCUGCCUUACACUCUUGGACAGCCUUCUGAAAGGGAGAUUAAUACAAGAUGUUAUCAUGAGUAAGCAUUUUCGCAUGAUUAAAGGUUUACCGGUGUAAGAUGGGGAUGCGUUCCAUUAGAUAGUAGGCGGGGUAACGGCCCACCUAGUCUUCGAUGGAUAGGGGUUCUGAGAGGAAGGUCCCCCACAUUGGAACUGAGACACGGUCCAAACUCCUACGGGAGGCAGCAGUGAGGAAUAUUGGUCAAUGGACGAGAGUCUGAACCAGCCAAGUAGCGUGAAGGAUGAAGGUUCUAUGGAUUGUAAACUUCUUUUAUACGGGAAUAAACGAAUCCACGUGUGGAUUUUUGCAUGUACCGUAUGAAUAAGGAUCGGCUAACUCCGUGCCAGCAGCCGCGGUAAUACGGAGGAUCCGAGCGUUAUCCGGAUUUAUUGGGUUUAAAGGGAGCGUAGAUGGGUUGUUAAGUCAGUUGUGAAAGUUUGCGGCUCAACCGUAAAAUUGCAAUUGAUACUGGCAGUCUUGAGUACAGUUGAGGUAGGCGGAAUUCGUGGUGUAGCGGUGAAAUGCUUAGAUAUCACGAAGAACUCCGAUUGCGAAGGCAGCUUACUAACCUGUAACUGACAUUGAUGCUCGAAAGUGUGGGUAUCAAACAGGAUUAGAUACCCUGGUAGUCCACACGGUAAACGAUGAAUACUCGCUGUAGGCGAUAUACAGUCUGCGGCCAAGCGAAAGCAUUAAGUAUUCCACCUGGGGAGUACGCCGGCAACGGUGAAACUCAAAGGAAUUGACGGGGGCCCGCACAAGCGGAGGAACAUGUGGUUUAAUUCGAUGAUACGCGAGGAACCUUACCCGGGCUUAAAUUGCAACCGAAUAUGGCGGAAACGCUAUAGCUAGCAAUAGCGGUUGUGAAGGUGCUGCAUGGUUGUCGUCAGCUCGUGCCGUGAGGUGUCGGCUUAAGUGCCAUAACGAGCGCAACCCUUGCCGAUAGUUACUAACAGGUUAUGCUGAGGACUCUGUCGGGACUGCCAUCGUAAGAUGUGAGGAAGGUGGGGAUGACGUCAAAUCAGCACGGCCCUUACGUCCGGGGCUACACACGUGUUACAAUGGGGGGGUACAGAGGGCUGCUACCACGCAAGUGGAUGCCAAUCCCAAAAACCUCUCUCAGUUCGGAUUGAAGUCUGCAACCCGACUUCAUGAAGCUGGAUUCGCUAGUAAUCGCGCAUCAGCCACGGCGCGGUGAAAUACGUUCCCGGGCCU
Molecule: ribosomal RNA, 1358 nt
Filed under: uncultured bacterium
Lineage: Bacteria
Description: bacterial SSU rRNA
Rfam family: Bacterial small subunit ribosomal RNA
Source: RNAcentral